RNAcentral lists this ribosomal RNA (465 nucleotides) under uncultured bacterium. RNAcentral describes it as "partial 16S ribosomal RNA". It matches the Rfam family "Bacterial small subunit ribosomal RNA", at positions 28 to 507 of the family's 1533-position model. The record is from RNAcentral.
GACGAACGCUGGCGGCGUGCUUAACACAUGCAAGUCGAACGGAAAGGCCCCUUUGGGGGUACUCGAGUGGCGAACGGGUGAGUAACACGUGAGUAACCUGCCCUUGACUUCGGGAUAACUUCAGGAAACUGGGGCUAAUACCGGAUAGGAAUCCUUGCUGCAUGGUGGGGGUUGGAAAGCUUCGGCGGUUUUGGAUGGACUCGCGGCUUAUCAGCUUGUUGGUGGGGUAGUGGCUUACCAAGGCUUUGACGGGUAGCCGGCCUGAGAGGGCGACCGGCCACAAUGGGGCUGAGAUACGGCCCAGACUCCUACGGGAGGGAGGAGUGGGGAAUAUUGCACAAUGGGCGGAAGCCUGAUGGAGCAACGCCGCGUGCGGGAAGACGGGCUUCGGGUUGUAAACCGCUUUCAGCAGGGGCGAAGCUUGUGGUGAAGGUAACUGCAGAAGAAGCACCGGCUAACUACGUG